UGGCUCAGAUUGAACGCUGGCGGCAUGCUUUACACAUGCAAGUCGGACGGCAGCACAGAGAAGCUUGCUUCUUGGGUGGCGAGUGGCGAACGGGUGAGUAAUAUAUCGGAACGUACCGAGUAAUGGGGGAUAACUAAUCGAAAGAUUAGCUAAUACCGCAUAUUCUCUGAGGAGGAAAGCAGGGGACCUUCGGGCCUUGCGUUAUUCGAGCGGCCGAUAUCUGAUUAGCUAGUUGGUGGGGUAAAGGCCUACCAAGGCGACGAUCAGUAGCGGGUCUGAGAGGAUGAUCCGCCACACUGGGACUGAGACACGGCCCAGACUCCUACGGGAGGCAGCAGUGGGGAAUUUUGGACAAUGGGCGCAAGCCUGAUCCAGCCAUGCCGCGUGUCUGAAGAAGGCCUUCGGGUUGUAAAGGACUUUUGUCAGGGAAGAAAAGGCUGUUGCUAAUACCGACAGCUGAUGACGGUACCUGAAGAAUAAGCACCGGCUAACUACGUGCCAGCAGCCGCGGUAAUACGUAGGGUGCGAGCGUUGUCCGGAAUUAUUGGGCGUAAAGAGCUUGUAGGCGGUUUGUCGCGUCUGCUGUGAAAGGCCGGAGCUUAACUCCGUGUAUUGCAGUGGGUACGGGCAGACUAGAGUGCAGUAGGGGAGACUGGAAUUCCUGGUGUAGCGGUGGAAUGCGCAGAUAUCAGAGGAACACCGAUGGCGAAAGCAGGUCUCUGGGCUGUAACUGACGCUGAGAAGCGAAAGCAUGGGGAGCGAACAGGAUUAGAUACCCU
RNAcentral lists this ribosomal RNA (779 nucleotides) under uncultured bacterium. RNAcentral describes it as "bacterial SSU rRNA". It matches the Rfam family "Bacterial small subunit ribosomal RNA", at positions 20 to 788 of the family's 1533-position model. The record is from RNAcentral.